ACUAGGUCAACAGGAGAGAGUGUCUUUUUCCUCUGAAGCAGCCCACUUCCUCCUACCCCUGCUCACCUUGGUUUAAUCUCAAAGGACUCGUUAUCUUCACACAGACCAAUGGAAGGAAACGAACCUUUCUUUGGAAUGCUUGAAGAUGCCAGAAUUUGAAAUAUCUCACGGAGAUGAACUGAACAGCUGAACUUGUGAUAUUGCCAUUGUUAAUCUGGGGACCUAAAGUUGAGCUCAAGGAAAAAGUGAGCACACUACCAGGAAAAGGGCGGAAGAGUAAGUGUGUAUAACUAUUUUUACUAUAUCAUUUGUGUUUUUUUAUAUAUAUAGCAAUUGGAUC
RNAcentral lists this long non-coding RNA (340 nucleotides) under Coturnix japonica (Japanese quail). RNAcentral's name for it is "lncRNA (ENSCJPG00005018337.1)". Lineage: Eukaryota; Metazoa; Chordata; Aves; Galliformes; Phasianidae. The record is from RNAcentral.